GUAACACUGAAUGGAGGACCGAACCGACUUACGUUGAAAAGUGAGCGGAUGAACUGAGGGUAGCGGAGAAAUUCCAAUCGAACUUGGAGAUAGCUGGUUCUCUCCGAAAUAGCUUUAGGGCUAGCCUCAAGUGAUGAUUAUUGGGGGUAGAGCACUGUUUGGACGAGGGGCCCCUCUCGGGUUACCGAAUUCAGACAAACUCCGAAUGCCAAUUAAUUUAACUUGGGAGUCAGAACAUGGGUGAUAAGGUCCGUGUUCGAAAGGGAAACAGCCCAGACCACCAGCUAAGGUCCCAAAAUAUAUGUUAAGUGGAAAAGGAUGUGGCGUUGCCCAGACAACUAGGAUGUUGGCUUAGAAGCAGCCAUCAUUUAAAGAGUGCGUAAUAGCUCACUAGUCGAGUGACACUGCGCCGAAAAUGUAACGGGGCUAAACAUAUUACCGAAGCUGUGGAUUGUCCUUUGGACAAUGGUAGGAGAGCGUUCUAAGGGCGUCGAAGCAUGAUCGCAAGGACAUGUGGAGCACUUAGAAGUGAGAAUGCCGGUGUGAGUAG
Molecule: ribosomal RNA, 550 nt
Filed under: Staphylococcus epidermidis
Lineage: Bacteria; Bacillati; Bacillota; Bacilli; Caryophanales; Staphylococcaceae
Description: bacterial LSU rRNA
Rfam family: Bacterial large subunit ribosomal RNA
Source: RNAcentral